UGACUAUGAGACUAUUCUAAACCCCAAUGACUUUGAGACUAUUGAAUGGUAACAUUCUGUCUCCAAGAGGUUGCCGUCAACCAACAUUCUGUCUCUAAAAUGUCAGCUUCAGAUAGCACUGGGCAGGCUAUAGAGGUGGAUUUACCCCCUUGAUGCUAAAGUAGUCAAAGCUAUCUGGAAAGCAAAAGGUCCUAAAAGGGUAAGGUUUUCACUUCGGGUGCUUGCACAGAACCAGUAAGUACCUACACGACAACAAACUUUGAAAAAGAAUAAAAAAUGAAAAAUAAAAGAAGAAGAAGAAGAAGAAGGUUGCCAAACUACUUUUUACCCCCUGGCUUAGUUAAUGUUCUCUUUGUCGAAACUCUUCACUUAUUCACAGUUCCUUCGCAGACAAGUGUUGAGAAUACUUCUUAAUUAAUCCAACAUUCCAAAACAAUAAUAGUGACAGAGGUCUUACUCAUCUUCUUUGGGGUCAUCACCAUUCAAAUGGCAAGCCAGAGUUAUUUGGUCAAGUACUAAUAAGACUAUACUUCAUGCAAGUUUUGUUUUCAAUUAAAAAUUAUAGUAAUAGCCUCGAAGAUCAGUUACAAGAUAUAAACAUAGAAUAGAACAGGUAAAUUCCACCAUCACGCGUGAAUUUGUUCCUGUUCAAAUACGGACUUCCUGCUUGAAAACUACCAUUGAAGCCACUCCUAAUGAACAUCUAAAAUAUGUAUUUUUAGCAGAAUAUCAUUCCAAAAAUGUUAGGAUCCAAAGCAUGAAGGUGCCAUAUUUUAGAACAAAUCAGGAAUUCCUAAAUAAGACAUACAACUCGAUUUUGAUUUUCCGUCAUUCCGAAUCAGAUCAAUGAAGUGGUACAUUAAGGAAAAAAACCCCUACACAUCCACAUUAUAUAAGAAAAGUAAAGAUGCAGCUAUCCAGGUUGAAUACUUUCAAAAGUCCAGCAAACCAUUUAAACUUUUUCUUGAAGGGAUGAUUUUUUUUAUAAUAAAAAUCCCAGGGAUAAGGAAAUGUAUUUCGAAGGUAAACGAGAAAACAGUAACAAAACCCAAUUGAAGAAUCGAAAAAAUAAAUAAAUAAAAA
This is a long non-coding RNA of Cucurbita maxima (winter squash), 1083 nucleotides long. RefSeq lists it as uncharacterized. Lineage: Eukaryota; Viridiplantae; Streptophyta; Magnoliopsida; Cucurbitales; Cucurbitaceae. The transcript has 2 exons. The record is from RefSeq and is a predicted model, not a curated record.